RNAcentral lists this ribosomal RNA (481 nucleotides) under uncultured bacterium. RNAcentral describes it as "bacterial SSU rRNA". It matches the Rfam family "Bacterial small subunit ribosomal RNA", at positions 32 to 507 of the family's 1533-position model. The record is from RNAcentral.
ACGACGCUGGCGGCGUGCCUAAACACAUGCAAGUCGAACGGUAACUUUUUUGAAAGAUUUCUUCGGAAUGAAUUUGACUAAGUUUAGUGGCGGACGGGUGAGUAACGCGUGAGUAACCUGCCUCCGAGAGGGAAUAACAAUCUGAAAAGAUUGUUAAUACCGCAUAAUAUAGCGAAGUCGCAUGGCAUUGCUAUCAAAGAUUUAUCGCUCGGAGAUGGGCUCGCGUCCGAUUAGCUAGUUGGCGGGAUAACAGCCCACCAAGGCGACGAUCGGUAGCCGACCUGAGAGGGUGAUCGGCCACAUUGGAACUGAGACACGGUCCAGACUCCUACGGGAGGCAGCAGUGGGGAAUAUUGGGCAAUGGGCGAAAGCCUGACCCAGCAACGCCGCGUGAGGGAAGAAGGGUUUCGGCUCGUAAACCUCUGUCCUAUGGGACGAAGAAGUGACGGUACCAUAGGAGGAAGCCCCGGCUAACUACGUG